This 200-nucleotide microRNA precursor is filed under the name Oryza barthii. RNAcentral's name for it is "MIR812 microRNA precursor family". It matches the Rfam family "MIR812 microRNA precursor family". The record is from Rfam by way of RNAcentral. Lineage: Eukaryota; Viridiplantae; Streptophyta; Magnoliopsida; Poales; Poaceae.
AAAGAGACAAACCCUGAGUUUUCGUGUUCAACUUUGACCGUUCGUCUUAUAUGAAAUUUUUUAUAAUUCGUAUUUUCAUUGUUAUUAGAUGAUAAAACAUGAUUAAUAUUUUAUGCGUGACUUGUCUUUUUAAUUUUUUUUCAUAAUUUUUUUAAAUAAGACGGACGGUCAAACGUUGGGCACGGAAACCAGAGUUUAUC